AGUUCUUGCCGAUGAUUGUGACCUUCUCUAUGUUCUCCUUAAUGAAGUCUGGUCCUAAGUGGCGCUGGUUCCCGACUUCACUCUAGGAAGUAGGGGAACGACAUAGCCUUCCAUACAAAGCUUCAUAUGUGGCUAUACUGAUGCUGAAAUGAUAACGGUUAUUAUAAAAAAAUUCACAAAGAGGGAGAUACUCAUACCAGUUAUCACCAAAGUCGAGAACGCAAGCACACAACAUGUCUUCCAAU
This 245-nucleotide long non-coding RNA is filed under the name Carica papaya (papaya). Its description in RNAcentral is "long non-coding RNA (CPAP_LNC004214)". Lineage: Eukaryota; Viridiplantae; Streptophyta; Magnoliopsida; Brassicales; Caricaceae. The record is from RNAcentral.